Molecule: small nucleolar RNA, 72 nt
Organism: Juglans microcarpa x Juglans regia
Lineage: Eukaryota; Viridiplantae; Streptophyta; Magnoliopsida; Fagales; Juglandaceae
Product: small nucleolar RNA R66
Exons: 1
Source: RefSeq, a predicted model, not a curated record
UGCAAUGAUGGCAUGAAAUCUGAGACCUGAUUGUCCAGUUUGAUGACAACUAUAAGCAUAUUUUCUGAGGAU